RNAcentral lists this ribosomal RNA (405 nucleotides) under uncultured Citrobacter sp. RNAcentral's name for it is "bacterial SSU rRNA". It matches the Rfam family "Bacterial small subunit ribosomal RNA", at positions 981 to 1393 of the family's 1533-position model. Lineage: Bacteria; Pseudomonadati; Pseudomonadota; Gammaproteobacteria; Enterobacterales; Enterobacteriaceae. The record is from RNAcentral.
UUGAAAGAGAAGGGGAGAGAUGAUAUGUGCCUUCGGGAACCGUGAGACAGGUGCUGCAUGGCUGUCGUCAGCUCGUGUUGUGAAAUGUUGGGUUAAGUCCCGCAACGAGCGCAACCCUUAUCCUUUGUUGCCAGCGGUCCGGCCGGGAACUCAAAGGAGACUGCCAGUGAUAAACUGGAGGAAGGUGGGGAUGACGUCAAGUCAUCAUGGCCCUUACGACCAGGGCUACACACGUGCUACAAUGGCGCAUACAAAGAGAAGCGACCUCGCGAGAGCAAGCGGACCUCAUAAAGUGCGUCGUAGUCCGGAUUGGAGUCUGCAACUCGACUCCAUGAAGUCGGAAUCGCUAGUAAUCGUGGAUCAGAAUGCCACGGUGAAUACGUUCCCGGGUCUUGUACACACCGA